CAGCCCUAAACGAUGCGCGUUAGGUGUAUCGGUGACCACGAGUCACCGAGGUGCCGAAGGGAAACCGUGAAACGUGCCGCCUGGGAAGUACGGUCGCAAGGCUGAAACUUAAAGGAAUUGGCGGGGGGAGCACCACAACGGGUGGAGCCUGCGGUUUAAUUGGACUCAACGCCGGGAAGCUCACCGGAUAAGACAGCGGAAUGAUUGCCGGGCUGAAGACCCUGCAUGACCAGCCUGAGAGGUGGUGCAUGGCGUGUGACGUCU
Molecule: ribosomal RNA, 264 nt
Filed under: uncultured archaeon
Lineage: Archaea
Description: partial 16S ribosomal RNA
Rfam family: Archaeal small subunit ribosomal RNA
Source: RNAcentral